GACGAACGCUGGCGGUGUGCCUCAAACAUGCAAGUCGAGGGAGGGUUGGCGUCUGGCUUGCCAGACGUUCAACUCUACCGGCGAACGGGUGAGUAACACGUGGGCAAUCUGCCCUGAAGACGGGGACAACCUCGGGAAACCGUGGCUAAUACCCGAUACCCUCCUUGGGGGGCAUCCCCUGGGAAGGAAAGGUCCGCAAGGUCCGCUUCAGGAGGAGCCCGCGGCCUAUCAGCUUGUUGGUGGGGUCACGGCCUACCAAGGCUAUGACGGGUAGCUGGUCUGAGAGGACGAUCAGCCACACUGGGACUGAGACACGGCCCAGACUCCUACGGGAGGCAGCAGUUGGGAAUUUUGGGCAAUGGGCGCAAGCCUGACCCAGCGACACCGCGUGGGGAUGAAGGCCUU
RNAcentral lists this ribosomal RNA (405 nucleotides) under uncultured bacterium. RNAcentral describes it as "partial 16S ribosomal RNA". It matches the Rfam family "Bacterial small subunit ribosomal RNA", at positions 28 to 418 of the family's 1533-position model. The record is from RNAcentral.